This 411-nucleotide ribosomal RNA is filed under the name uncultured Gammaproteobacteria bacterium. RNAcentral's name for it is "bacterial SSU rRNA". It matches the Rfam family "Bacterial small subunit ribosomal RNA", at positions 9 to 416 of the family's 1533-position model. Lineage: Bacteria; Pseudomonadati; Pseudomonadota; Gammaproteobacteria. The record is from RNAcentral.
GAGUUUGAUCCUGGCUCAGAGUGAACGCUGGCGGCAGGCCUAACACAUGCAAGUCGAACGGCAGCGCAGCAGUAGCAAUACUGUGGGCGGCGAGUGGCGGACGGGUGAGGAAUACAUCGGAAUCUACCUUGUCGUGGGGGAUAACGUAGGGAAACUUACGCUAAUACCGCAUACGACCUACGGGUGAAAGCGGCGGACCGCAAGGCGUCGCGCGAUUGGAUGAGCCGAUGUCCGAUUAGCUAGUUGGCGGGGUAAGAGCCCACCAAGGCGACGAUCGGUAGCUGGUCUGAGAGGAUGAUCAGCCACACUGGAACUGAGACACGGUCCAGACUCCUACGGGAGGCAGCAGUGGGGAAUAUUGGACAAUGGGCGCAAGCCUGAUCCAGCCAUGCCGCGUGUGUGAAGAAGGCC